UAGAUGAAUCAUAUAAUGCUACCGAGUAGUUUAAAUCUCUUACAAGUGUCUAGAAAAUUUCAAAAAAUUAAAAAAAUGGAUAUCCUCAAAAGUAACAUUGUACUGUUGACUAUUGCCGAUUGUGCCAUUGCAUUUUGCUUUUAAGUUGUUUUAUCUUGUACUUGUAGUUUCGCAUGUAUAUCUUAUUGUACCCUUCCGAUCUUCAAACAUUAGGGUAAUACUCCCUCCGUCCCUCUCAUUUCUUUACAGUUACUAUUUUGGGAUGUCCCUCUCAUUUCCUUACGUUACCAUAAAUAGUAAGUUUUUUCAUCAUUACACCCACUAUCUUCUCCCACUAUCUCAUAUUUAACAAUAAAAACUACUAUUACACCCACUACUUUCCUCCACUAUCUCAAAUCUAUUAUUAAAUAUUGAUGGGUCCCACCAUUUUACUCACUUUUCACCUAACUUUACUCAUUUUUCAUACAUUGUCUUGGUCUCCGUGUCCCCCUCCAAUGUAAACAAUUGAGGGGGACGGAGGGAGUAUUAAAGAUUGCUUAAAUGACUUCAAUAUCCCUAUAAUAUUUGCAAAACUUUUUCUUUCUGAAAAUGCAUGUUUUCACAUUAAGGUGUUCGGUACAAAAAAUCAUAUGUAAAAGCAUAAAUCCCACCACUUAAUUUUAAUGCUAUUCUCGAUAGUAACAUCGUACUACUUUUGACAUGGUACCAUUGCAUUUAGUAACAUUUUAGAGUUUUGCUAAUGUUUAAGACUUAAGUAAAGGAAGGGGUUUGCGAAUACAAAACCAUGAGCAAAAGGGUACCACAUGUAAGAGGGGAAAGGGCAGUCACGUCAUAGCAAAAGUCAAUAGGCCAACAGUACAAUUCAGAAUAUCACUUAAAAAGACCAAUCAUAUAUGUAACUUAACAAUCUGCUGAAGGUAUCACUGUAAUUUAAAA
This 936-nucleotide long non-coding RNA is filed under the name Daucus carota (carrot). RNAcentral describes it as "long non-coding RNA (DCAR_LNC000879)". Lineage: Eukaryota; Viridiplantae; Streptophyta; Magnoliopsida; Apiales; Apiaceae. The record is from RNAcentral.